GAAUAAAACUCCAGCACAUUAUGAAGCACAUUUUCUUCACUUACUAAGACGCUGGUGGACUCCGACUGAUCCCAUAGCUUGACUAUUACAAAACUACAGCAGAAGCCAUUAAUGUGCAUGCAUCUUUCUGCAAUUGCCGAUGCUAUGACAUAUCAUUGUGUGUACAUCUGGGAUCCGGGAUAGCUGGAUCAUACGGUAAUUCUGUUUUUUAUUAGUGUUCGUUUUAACCAAAUCGCUUACAUCACACACACACACACACACACACACACACACGCACACGCGGAGGUUAUAUGUAUCUGAGAAAGAUCAUUCUUAGAACGCGUUUUCGUGCUUCUCCCGAGUGUGGCAUAUAGGAGGGAGUUUACUUCAGCUGUUGUUAUUCAUAUGCCUCUGUGAACAAACUUGGUUUUGCCCCUUGCGGCUCGUCUUUGUGAUAUACACUUUACCCAUGUGACUCUUCUUAACCCUCAGAGUAUAAAUUGUCCGAUGCUCUGAAUAAAGCUGACUAUUGUGUGAGACUUUGGUCCUAAUUUUUAGGCCCCACUCUCCCAGGUUCAUGUUGCCAACCAGAGUGGUAAACAUCGAAGCGCUUGCAUAGCUGUGAAGACCACGGGUUCUGUAUAUGGUACUGUAAACUAAGUAAAUGAAUAAUCAGUAGAUAAGGUAUACGCAAACGAGUGAGUAAACAAGGUAUACGCAAAGUAUAAGGUGUCAGGGUAAACAAAUCAGGGGAAGUGGAUUCUGGCCGAGAGCUCAGGGGACUCAGAAAUCUGAUGGUCAGUGGCAAACAUUGCGCAUGCCUGAUGAAGAUUGCGCAUGCCUGAUGAAGGCCCGCUUGAAGGCAGCAGGGAGCCAUGAGGAAUGGAAGACGCUAAGAAAGCAAUGACAGAGACAACUAGAGGUCAGAUUGCAUAGAACACUAGUUCUGAGCCCUAUCAGAUCCCUCUUUAUGUCAUGUAAAUAGCUUAAUAGGAGUAUAACGCGUGCAUCCUGACAUGUUAGAAAACGCCCUGUGUUGGGGGAGAAGAUUUACUGUUUAUUUGUGGUGUUACAAUUGCUCUUCCCUCAAGAGUCACCCCAUCAAACAAGACCCUAUGCUUGUGAAUUGCCCAAUUUUAGAUGCUCUAUUGAUACAGCCUGAUUCAGCUCUUUAGCUCCCAGACCAGUGAUGCUUUAAUAGUCUAUCUGUCUGUUCCAUCCAAGUCCCACAAGCAUCCUGAUCGAUAAUUUGCCGUAUGGAGACAUUCUGGUUAUUUGAAGUAACUCUCAUUACAGCAGUCUCUCCAGGCUUGGCUCUGGUGGUUAGGCGCCGGUGCCUGGCCGCACCACUUCAGGAUUACGCUACGCACUGUAAUCGAGGUAAUCUCCACAGCACGAGCAGCUCUGUCUUCCACCGCCAGAGAGACUUUCAAGGAUGCUGGCACUGUCUGACUCAGAGUAUCUCAUAUGCCUCGUCCACAGAUGCCUUCUUCGGUUUCCUGAAAGAUGUUGUGGGGGAUGGGGAUACGCGUUGCAAACGAUAAAUGAGCUCCACCUUCCUCCACGUCUGUGCCAAGAAUGCUCAAUCGUCAAUUUUAUGAAAUCCUGAGCCCAAAAUCCAAUCCACCAAGGAAGGUGUCAGAUCCACUGCGGCUAUACUAGCACCCACAUGUUAAAUCUAGACUUGCUUUUACAUGCAUCUAUAUGAGUGCAUUUGGGCUAGUCUAAUUUUGACUUAUUUCCUCCCUGGUGUAGCAGCCUUCACACUCAUUGUCAAAACGUUCCUCGGGCUCUCAUCUCUAUAUAUAUUAUAAAAACAUGGAAAGUCUUUCAAAAUAUAAGCCAUAUGCUCCUGGGUUAAACCUGGCUAUUCAUCUUCUUGGAGCAUGUUGAGACCUGUCUCUAGUUAUCAAUCUGGAGUCAUCCAUGGAGGACAGAAGGGACCUUGAAAAGGACAGGCAUCUUCCCCAAGGAGAGCUGAUCCCCCCUUCCCCAAUCCCUCACCUUCCCAUUCCCAUCAAUCAGGAGGCCUCAGAUCCUCCAGUGAGCCAAGUUUAGGAAAGUAGAUUUGGAACUGAUUGGAUGCAAUUAUAUGCAUUUAACACACAAACAGAGUCUUGAUUACAAUAAGGGACAUGAUGAACUAGGCUUCUAUGGUCACAUGUAGAGUCUGCGUGGAAGUGACAGCUACUGAUGUAUACAGACAAGAUCAGGUGUGUUCAGGGUGGGUUGUAGCGGUCCCCGAUAAAUCUACACGAUUCGACCCCACCCCAAUGUUCUGGGUUCCCAUGACCGAUCUACCUCCCUCCGAUAUUCCCAAGUUCCCAAAUUAUUGCUUACUAAAACCUAUAUUCCCUCUUGGCUGGACCCAGACGUGCAGCUCUCUUUGGCUGCGUUUCAUCCCCCUCCCCCCACCGGCUCCUACAUGGAGGCCAUGCUCUCUGUCCUGCACCUCUCAGGCGUGGCAUCUUACUCUCCUUCUCUCAUCAUGAUGGAUCUCCUCUUCCUCCCUUCUCCUUCCCUAGCCCCGAAUCCUGAAAGUCCCGCCUGUCUGCCCCGCCCAUCCGGAGGCCCAUUGGCUGUCUUUAUUUACCAAUCAGAAUCAACAGUGGACAGAGUCCUUCAGUCUGCCCUGACACUGCAAACAGGUUUGGGGGGAACAUAAUUAGCACAAGAAUCUAAGCAGCUACAAUGAAUGGCUACUGUUCUGACAAGAUUAGGUGUGUUUAGGGUGGAUGACCACAGAAUAUAAAUAUAUCCAGAGGUGGUGUUGUCCUGGGGAUACAAAUGACAAGAGUGGUCAUGCCGAGAAUAAAGUAAUUUGCUAAAGUGGUGAGCGACUUUUGAUAAUAUUCAAGACAAAAUAAUGUAUUAUUUCUCUUACAGAGCAGUGGCGUGCAGUCCUGACACUCUAUUGCAUACUAAAUACUCAAGCAGGGUUUUUAGGGUUCAUUCCAAGGUUGCUUGGGCAGAAUAUGGUGGUUGUUCCUUGCCUUGGAGUGAGCAGAAAACAGAAACAACAUUCAGGAAAGAAAGAGGGCAAGUCGAGCCUCCGAGGACAAGACCCACGGAGAGAUAGAUGCUUUCCUCCAACCAGGCCCCAUCUCCUGCAAUCUGAUAAUGAAUCGAGGAUUGAUCUGCCUAUUAGGCUUGUGUUAAGAUAAAGUCAACGCGGAGGAGAACAGAUCCAACUAGGCAUUCAGGCCAACAGAAGUACAGACCCAGACAGAGAUGACGGCUACAUAAUCCUGAGCAAGGACUGACGCCACAGAACCAUUCGCUUUGAAACGGCUACUUUGUCACAUGAACUCCACCUCAACAAGAAGUAAAGGAACUAGUGUAAAAUCAAGGCAGCCAGGACUGGAGAGAUGGCCCAGUGGUUAGGCACACCGGCUGCUCUUGCAAAGGAUUCUGGUUCGAUUCCCAGCACCUACAUAACUGCUCACAGCCUUCUGUAACUCCAGUUCUGGAGGAUCUGAUGGGUUCUUUUGGACUCCGUGGUCCCAGGCACACGCGAGCACAUACAUACAUGCAUGAGGCAAAAUACCUUACACAUCAGGGAAAAAACAACCCUUCAAGGAAACAGCGAGGUUGUGAUGUAGGAAGAGAUUAGCAAGGUGCUCCAGCCAAGGGCCGUCUUUUGGAUGUGCCUGCUGCAGCAGGACAAUUGCGUGGGCUUCUGCAGAUGACAGAGAGACAUGGACGCAAAAGGGAAAUCUAUAUAUUCCAAAAGCAGAUGAACGUGAAGGAUAAUGCUGUGAGGGCAAGAUUUUCUUAAGCAAGACCUUAAACGUCAGAUCACAAAGAAAAAUAUCAGGGGGUUGGCAGUACCAAAAAUGAAUACCGUCUGCUCAGUAGUAGACAGGACUGCGAGUUAAGAGAUAAAUAACAAGGCAGGGACUACAGUGCAGUGACAGAGGGACCACCUCAUAGCUGUGAAGCCCCAGGUUCACCCUCCCGCACUCUCCAAACUACUAACUUCCUUUUGCUUUUAUAACCAUUUACCACAAGCUUGUAGAUCAAAGCAAUACAGACAUUUUCUAUUCUUGUGAUUCUAGAAAGAGGUUCCGCUGAGCUAAAAGUCCAUUUCCCCAACCAACUAUGAACACUAUCAAUGGAAUUAUUAACAUAAUGUUCAAAAGAUGUACAGUUUUACAUGUUUUGGGUACUAUCAUAUAAGGCAGUUCAUUACUUUAUAGAGAAUAGAAAAGAGAAAACAACUCCAUUUAACGUUACUGACUUAAAAAGGACAUCCCCGAGUUACCUGUUUUACAAAUCCAGUUAAUAUUAGAAACAGAAAGUAAAGGCUGUGCGUGCUGGCCCUCACCUAUCGUCCCAGGAUGAUGGAAGCAGGAGUCCCAAGUCAGCUUGCACUGUGAGUUUGAGACCAUCCUGGGCUACAUGAGAUCAUCUCUGACAAACGGAGAAACAGGAGAAAGAGAACGGUGUCUGAGAAUGUGUAAGGAAAUAGAAUUUUUGAGCAGAGAUGGAGGGACUGAAAUCACAUCAUAGGAGGAAAGCCCUCCAAAUUCAUCCUAACAAGAGGAAGGAAUGGGUCCAGGCAUAGAAAUAAGUGUUUGCUUAACCGGUUCUGUAUCUCUGGAAAGGAAAGAGAAGAUGAGGUGGAAGGGUACACAGUUCUGAGAAAGUGACAUAGUCUUUAGCCUAUGGAGGGGAGAGAGGUGGUGAAGAUGUGGGGGACACAUUUACUGUGAACUAGUAGGCUUUGGAAUCUGGUGACCAUGUGACUAAUCUACACCACUUGAGACUUUCUUCAGUGGCCCUCAGUACAGACCUGCCUGUCUGUAACAGGAAGAACAAGGCAGUCACCUGAAAUCAGUCCAUUAGAAUGAGGGUUCACUGUUCAGAGAGUGACCAGCCAAAGUGAUGGCCUCUUAAAAUCUAAUCUGAGGGCAGAGGACUGGGGAGAUGGUUCAGUCAGUUAAGGCUGGCAGUGCAAGGGUGAGGCCUGAACUGGACCUGCAUCAAAAGCUAAGCAUGAUGACGUGCACCUGCAAUCCCAGGGCUGCAGAGGGAGACAGGAGGAGAUAACUGCAUCACUAGAGUUCCCUGCAGCUACACUAACAGCAGAGGAUUCCCAGGCACCGUGAGAGGCCUGUCUCAAAAACAGAGGCCUAGGAUGACUUAAGAUACUUAUGGUUGACUAUGUCUGAUCUACACACACACACACACACACACACACGCACACACAAACACACACACGUGCACACACGAACACAUGCACACAUACAUUCAUGUACACACUCAUGCACAUGCUCAUGCACUCAUACACACAUACACACACACUCACACACAAUACACACAUACACAUGCACACACAUACACAGAAACUUAUGCACACAGACAAACACAUGCACACAUAUACUCAUGCACACACUCAUGCACACACUCAUGCAUUCAUACAUGCACACACUUAAAUACUCUCACACACAUACACACAUACACAUGCACACAAUCAUACACACACGACACACAGGGUCUCGUGCACACACAAGAGCACAUGCACACACUCAUGCAUUCACAAACACACACAAUACACACACACUUGUGCACAUAUGCUUGCACUCACACACACACACCCAUGCACACACACACACACACCCAUGCACACACACACACACACACACAUGCAUACAUGCAUGCAAACACACAAAAUCUAAUUUGAAGUGCAAAUAAAGUGAAGACAGGAGGAACUUGAUACAAGUCGAUGGGACAGUAUUCUGGAGAUUCCAACAAGGCGACCUUAUCUCUUGGGAUGACUUGCUUGGAGAAUCAGAACAGAACAUUCUUAUGAUAGCAUGAAAGACUGAGUUUCCUCUUAUAACGUUAAACAAUUUUGGCGGUGAGCAAUUCAAGUGCCAAGUGGAGCAAAUAGGCAGAGACAGGGAAGUCAGGAACAGAAAGCUUUGGGGCAGGAAGGGGCGCCCGCAAGGACUCUGAAGCAAGACAGCCAUGGACUGAGGGCAGCCGUAGACCAGGUGGCUGUCAGGAAGCUGGUGGGAGGAUGUGGCCAGGAAGGGUAUGAAUGGCAGUGUUUAGGGGUGGUGGUGGUUGGUAUAGUCGAAGGGCUCAAAGACAAAAGUGGUAGGGAGUUUUACGUGAGAGCAGGGAGGCAAGCCGAAUGGUAGCACUUGGUGGGGAGAGGAGGUCACGAGGCUCAGACUUCACUCUACAGAAGAGAAAACUGAGGAAGAAAGGACAUUAGCUAACCGGAGAUGUCCUCGAUGCUCCCUGCCCACAGACGCUCACUCUUCCCACAGGGUAUCAGCGUCUGCUUGAGGAGGGUAGAAGACAGAUAAACCAAUGCUAUAUUGCAUGUCAGACUGGGCUGGGAUGGCUGUUUCGGGCUCUAUCCAGCUGUUCUCUUGUUUGUUUUGGGGGAAGACGGCUGCCACAGCUUAAGCCAGCCUACGGUGAGGGUGAGCCUUUAGGGUAAGGAACCAACGUUCUUGGGUUUGUGAAUGACCUUAGCAGCAGUCUCCAGUCCAUGGCAGUCUUCAGAGGACAGAAUGCUACCUCACAGUUCCUUUGCCACUCUUGAGACUCCCUGAGGAGACCAACUGAGCCAGCCUACAGAAACCGGAAGAUAACACGCACUGCUUGUCCUAAACCGUUACAUUUGGAGCGACUUGUCAGGCAGCAAUGGCUAAAUAAGAGUUUUCAUCAUUUAUGUCAAACCACAAAGCUGGUUAGCAGCCAAUUUGAAAUGAGAGCACAGGGCUCCUAACUCUCAGUGUUCCGUCAAACACACCUUGCCCCGGUGUAUGUAUUCCCUCCCGUUUAACAUUUCUGCCAGGGCAUUGCUUAUACCAAGGUUAAACGUGAAGGAAUGUUUAUGCAAACAAAACGUUUCAAGGUAGAUUCUGGGUGGUUGGGGUGGUGCUGUUUAGAUUUAAAAAUGACAGAAGAGUAUUAAACCCCACAUGCACUAUGUAGGCCGGAAGUAAAUAUGGCUUAGUGGUGUGCUUGACAAUUGGGAAACAGAUACUGUCUCUCUGGCAGUUUGGGCUUCAUUAAUGGUACCUGAAGUUUUCUGCCUUCCUCAGCAGAAAGGACAGAUCAGAGCCUGGGAGGAAGGACCUGUCCCCCCAACCCCCAUGGAACACCCACCCCUCCCUCUACAUAGGAUGCCACCCCUCCCCCCAUGACUUCCUCUUCAUGUAGCUACAAUCUUCCUGUCUUCCCUUCUCCCUCACUUGGAUUUCAUAUCUGGGACUCAGAAAGUGUCAACAAGGGCUGGAGAGAUGGCUCAGUCAGAGCACUGACUGCUCUUCCAGAGGUCAUGAGUUCAAUUCCCAGCAACCACAUGUUGGCUCACAACCAUCUGUAAUGAGAUCUGGUGCCCUCUUCUGGCCUGCAGUCACAUAUGCAGGCAGAAUACUGUACAUAAAAUAAAUAAAUAAAUUUUAAAAAGAAAAAAAGAAA
Molecule: non-coding RNA, 7425 nt
Organism: Rattus norvegicus (Norway rat)
Lineage: Eukaryota; Metazoa; Chordata; Mammalia; Rodentia; Muridae
Source: RefSeq, a predicted model, not a curated record